This is a non-coding RNA of Cyanistes caeruleus (blue tit), 931 nucleotides long. The record is from RefSeq and is a predicted model, not a curated record. NCBI's taxonomy places the organism in Eukaryota, Metazoa, Chordata, Aves, Passeriformes, Paridae.
CCAGCGGGCUCCGUCCCGUACCAUCCCCGGCACUUCAGGGGAAGGAGACGAGCGCAAAGAGUCGCCAGGAAGAGCGGACAAACCGCAAGAAAUCGCUGCCAGCUUAGAGGGGCACACAGCCAUCCCGCAGGACAGGGGGCGGGGAGGGGGGGGCACCCAAAACCCAAGCCAACCCCACGCGAACGACACCGGCGCUUACAUCCUCCUCCUCGCAGUCACUUCGCGACUGGUACUGGAAGCGGGGCCGGCUGCCUUCCUGUUGCAAUGGACGCGGGGUCUUGCCGGCAGCGCCGUCCUCCUCGCUGCUCUGGGCGCCCAGGAGGUGACUCGCUUCGGGGGGAACGGGGAACGAGCGGGAGGUGUUGAUCUUCCCGCUGAACCGCUGGUACAGUGAAGCCAUGAACUACAGCAUGCUACACGCGGGUGAGGAUCAGUCCCACAUCAGUGGGAGGGAGAGCGAGGAGGAUCCUGCUCCCCGGUCCUCUGCACCGGCACCCGGAGAGAAGCCGGGGGAUUCAAGAGAGCAGAAACGGGGGAGUGAUGAGAGGAAGAAGACAGAAGAUAGAUAAAUAAAUAAUAAAACGCAAUCGAGCCGUAACACCACAGGCCCCGGGAACGCUGCACCAUCCAGUGUUGGGAAGGGGGAAAAAAAAAAUAGAAGAGGAAAAAAAAGAACCAAAACACUCCACGAAGACGUACCCCCGAUAAUGGCGCCUGAGUGGAUCAGCAUUAAAUGUGCUUUGGGGGUGUGCGUGUGUGUUUGCAAAAGCAGGGAAAAAAAAAGAAAAAAAAAAAAAAAAAAAAAAAAAAAAAAAAAAAAAAAAAAAAAAAAAAAAAGGAAGGGGGGCUGGCUCAAUCGCUGGCUGUCAGCGGCUCCCCAGGCAGAGGUGGCGGAGCAGUCGCCUCCGAGGUCGCAUACCAACAGUGUGCA